Molecule: ribosomal RNA, 465 nt
Filed under: uncultured bacterium
Lineage: Bacteria
Description: partial 16S ribosomal RNA
Rfam family: Bacterial small subunit ribosomal RNA
Source: RNAcentral
GACGAACGCUGGCGGCGUGCCUAACACAUGCAAGUCGAACGGAAAGGCCCCUUUGGGGGUACUCGAGUGGCGAACGGGUGAGUAACACGUGCGUAACCUGAACUUGACUUCGGGAUAACUUCAGGUAACUGGGGCUAAUCCCGGAAAGGAAUCCUUGCUGCAUGGUGGGGGUUCGAAAGCUCAUGCGGUUUUGGAUGUACUCGCGGCUUAUCAGCUUGUUGUUGGGGUCGUGUGGUACCAAGGCUUCGUCGCGGAGCCGGCCUGAGAGGGCGACCGGCCACAUUGAGACUGAGAUACGGCCCAGGCGCAGACUCGAGGGAGCAGUGGGGAAGAGUGCACAAGGAGCGGAGGGCGGAUGCAGCAGCGCCGCGGGCGGGAUAACGGCGUUGGGGUUGUAGACCGCUUGCAGAAGGGGCGAAGCUUGUGGUGACGGUACCUGAAGAAGAAGCACCGGCUAACUACGUG